GAUCCUGGCUAAGGAUGAACGCUGGCGGCGUGCCUAACACAUGCAAGUCGAACGAAGCACCUUUUGUAGAUUCUUCGGAUGAUCGAUCGGUGACUGAGUGGCGGACGGGUGAGUAACGCGUGGGUAACCUGCCCUGUACAGGGGGAUAACAGCUGGAAACGGCUGCUAAUACCGCAUAAGCGCACGAGGAGACAUCUCCUAGUGUGAAAAACUCCGGUGGUACAGGAUGGGCCCGCGU
Molecule: ribosomal RNA, 238 nt
Filed under: uncultured bacterium
Lineage: Bacteria
Description: partial 16S ribosomal RNA
Rfam family: Bacterial small subunit ribosomal RNA
Source: RNAcentral